GACGAACGCUGGCGGCGUGCUUAACACAUGCAAGUCGAACGGAAAGGCCCUGCUUGCCGGGUACUCGAGUGGCGAACGGGUGAGUAACACGUGGGUGAUCUGCCCUGCACUUCGGGAUAAGCCUGGGAAACUGGGUCUAAUACCGGAUAGGAGCCAUUUUUAGUGUGAUGGUUGGAAAGUUUUUUCGGUGUAGGAUGAGCUGGCGGCCUAUCAGCUUGUUGGUGGGGUAAUGGCCUACCAAGGCGGCGACGGGUAGCCGGCCUGAGAGGGUGGACGGCCACAUUGGGACUGAGGGACGGCCCAGACGCCGACUGGAGGCAGCAGUGGGGAAGAUUGCACAAUGGGCGCAAGCCGGAUGCAGCGAGGCCGCGGGGGGGAUGACGGCCUUCGGGUUGUAAACUCCUUUCGCUAGGGACGAAGCUUUUUGUGACGGUACCUAGAGAAGAAGCACCGGCUAACUACGUG
Molecule: ribosomal RNA, 465 nt
Filed under: uncultured bacterium
Lineage: Bacteria
Description: partial 16S ribosomal RNA
Rfam family: Bacterial small subunit ribosomal RNA
Source: RNAcentral